Molecule: unclassified non-coding RNA, 23 nt
Filed under: synthetic construct
Source: RNAcentral
GGGAGACCUGAAGUGGGUUUCCC